This 87-nucleotide transfer RNA is filed under the name Nannocystis exedens. It matches the Rfam family "tRNA". From Rfam's summary of the family: Transfer RNA (tRNA) molecules are approximately 80 nucleotides in length. RNAcentral also lists the same sequence under 6 other names. Lineage: Bacteria; Pseudomonadati; Myxococcota; Nannocystales; Nannocystaceae. The record is from Rfam by way of RNAcentral.
GGAAUGGUGGCCGAGAGGCUGAAGGCGCAGGUUUGCUAAACCUGUGUAGGGGAAACUCUACCGAGGGUUCGAAUCCCUCCCAUUCCG